This 496-nucleotide ribosomal RNA is filed under the name uncultured bacterium. RNAcentral's name for it is "partial 16S ribosomal RNA". It matches the Rfam family "Bacterial small subunit ribosomal RNA", at positions 28 to 506 of the family's 1533-position model. The record is from RNAcentral.
GAUGAACGCUGGCGGCGUGCCUAAUACAUGCAAGUCGAGCGAACAGACGAGGAGCUUGCUCCUCUGACGUUAGCGGCGGACGGGUGAGUAACACGUGGAUAACCUACCUAUAAGACUGGGAUAACUUCGGGAAACCGGAGCUAAUACCGGAUAAUAUAUUGAACCGCAUGGUUCAAUAGUGAAAGACGGUUUUACUGUCACUUAUAGAUGGAUCCGCGCCGCAUUAGCUAGUUGGUAAGGUAACGGCUUACCAAGGCAACGAUGCGUAGCCGACCUGAGAGGGUGAUCGGCCACACUGGAACUGAGACACGGUCCAGACUCCUACGGGAGGCAGCAGUAGGGAAUCUUCCGCAAUGGGCGAAAGCCUGACGGAGCAACGCCGCGUGAGUGAUGAAGGUCUUCGGAUCGUAAAACUCUGUUAUUAGGGAAGAACAAAUGUGUAAGUAACUAUGCACGUCUGGACGGUACCUAAUCAGAAAGCCACGGCUAACUACGU